UAUAUAUAUAUAUAUAUAUAUAUAUAUAUAAGGCAUAAUAUAUGAGAUAUUAGAUCAUCAGCAUGCCAUUAAUAUAUGAGAUAUUGGCAAUGUUAAAACUACUCCUUCUUGUGCUCUUGUCAGCGGCUUCUCUGCAAGCUAUUACCACUCAUGGGCAACCGUAUGACUACCUACAAUAUGUACUACAAUGGCAGAAGACGAAAUGCUUGAAGGUCGGGAAACGGUGCACUCCAGUGCAUCAACCAUAUGAGGAGUUCACUACUCACGGCCUCUGGCCAACCAACCUCUCCAAUAAAUUGACAUGCAAAUCAGCUUCAAAAUUUAACAGCACUAUGGUACGUAUAUAUUUCUUUAUUUCUUAAAUCUUUUUAUUCUUUCUUUAAUGUACUUUAUAUUCAUUCCUUUUUAUUUACAGUUUUCAUUUAUGAUCGAUUGAUCUGAUAUCGCCAAAUCUAAUUAUAGCUUUCUAUCAUAUAAUACUAUAAUUAAUUAGCUGCAAAAUGAUGCUUCAUUGCUAUCGAAGAUGGAAAAGUCCUGGCCAAAUCUGGAGCAGAGAGUUGCCCAAAGAAAAGACAACGAUAUGUUGUUUUGGGCGAUGGAGUACGAAAAACACGGUACAUGUGCCAAGUUUUCUAGCCAGAAUACUUACUUGUCAAAAGCAUGUGAUUUGUGGGAAGAAAACAAGAUUAAGGCGAUUUUUGAGCACCACAAAAUCUUUCCAACAAACGCGACGUCGUAUAAAGAUGUUUUGCUUAUGAAUGCUAUUCAAAUGGAAACUCGCAGUUCUCCUCUCCUUCUUUGCCAUAGA
Molecule: long non-coding RNA, 808 nt
Filed under: Prunus dulcis (almond)
Lineage: Eukaryota; Viridiplantae; Streptophyta; Magnoliopsida; Rosales; Rosaceae
Description: sRNA ncRNA
Source: RNAcentral